This is a non-coding RNA of Rattus norvegicus (Norway rat), 2374 nucleotides long. NCBI's taxonomy places the organism in Eukaryota, Metazoa, Chordata, Mammalia, Rodentia, Muridae. The record is from RefSeq and is a predicted model, not a curated record.
CCUUUCUCUUCAGCUGCCUAAGCACUGUUCAACUCCCGCUGCCCAGCUUUGAGAGGCCCGAGGUCACAGAGUGGCCCCGGGUCAGCGUUCGCACUGCUGAGCAGUGCUGACAGAACCUGAGCAGAGCAUUCAACUUCCUCUCCACCUGCAGCCAGGGCUCUGCCCCCAUCCCGAUGUAGAGCGGUCAAGCCUGAACUGAACUUCAGGAUUUCUCCUGGACAACUGGUUUCCACAUUCCAGAAUGUGCUAUCAGGCUCUGGGAGAGAAAGGUCGCUAGCAGGCUUGCUCAGCUGCGAAGGCUGCACUCUGUAGCACCACCCUGCCAGAUCGAUGCCUGAGAAUACUCCUCCAUUUGACUUUCCAAGGAAAGCACUGUCAUGGCCAGAAACUCGUCCCACUCCACCAAGGUGGCAUCACAGUAAGGUCUGACUUCUGCGUCUCAAGUACCUGUCGGAGUAGUCGCUGAGCUCAUAGGUGAGACUCAGGGCUGGGUCAAGGUCCCUGUUUGAGUUUUGAUGCCUUGUGAUUCUCUGGCCAGCACUUCCCUUAGGGGAAGGCUGUGUGGCUGAACCAGAGUGGCUGUCUGCCUUUGUCCUCCACUCCCCUACAGUGCAUGCGUGAACAGCCACAGCCUGUCUGUGACUGCAGUGGAUAAUCUUUCUAGUCCAGAACAUUCUGCAAAUAACUGUGGAAGGCCCGUGUGGAAAAUACUAUGCUAGUAUGGCAAAGAAUUUAGAGCCUCGGACAAACCUUGGAUGAGGCAGAAGGAGGUAAUUUGGGAGAACGGAGAAAAGGCAACACUGUAUGGGGAGAAAAGGCAACAUUGAAAAGAUGGCUUGGGGUGAAUAACUUCACAGCCACCCACAGGAAGCUUGGGCAUCUGCCACAGCAGGAACCAAUCUCUCCUUCCUGUUGCAGUCUCCCGCAGGGAAUGAUCUUUAGGUGCUGGGACUUCUUAGGCUGCUCAGGCCUGAGCUGGGGUUUUGAAGACAGACUCUGGGCAUGGAGCAGACUCUUACAUCACCACAUUACCACAUCAUCACAUCACCACGUCAAGCUCAUCAUUUCAGUCCUAAACUGUGUCUUCCGUGCUCUGGUCUUUGGUGUCCACAGCUCUGUGCACUGUCCCUUACACUUUGCAGGAAGGAGGCAGGUUCCCUGAGGGGAGGAUGGGGGAGGAGGUGGGUUAGCCUAUGGGGAGGAGGAGGGGGAGGGAAAGGCGAGUUCCCACCUGUGGGCUAACACAUUAUCACUGCUCCCGGUAGGAUGGGCCAUGCCACACACAGCUCUUUGGCUCACUUGACGUUAUGAUCCAGAUAAAGCACGGAUGAACGUCUGGGAUCUUGUUCCAGAACUUUGUGUGUGGUUACCUAGUGGUGAAUGAGAACAGAAUGGAAAGGCGAGGGUGAGGAAGAAGUGGGUGAGAGGUGAAAAACUGAACCACUUGAGCUCUGCAGUGAUAGGAGCCGAGCAUCAUCUCCCUCACGCUCUAUGGCGUCCUGUCAGAGAGGCACUUCUGCUGCCACCACCUUUAACUGGGCAGUCAAGGGUCAAGGGUCAGGGGUCAAGGUUCAAGGAGUCAACAGCUUGUCAAAGUCCACAUAGCUCAAGAGAGCCAGAGCCAGGUUUCAACCGAGUGUGGUCUGACUUUUGAGCCUCUAUCAGUAUCUCUUCUAAGAACGACAGCAUCCACAAAAUUUAUGUAGAUGCCGAGAGACAUAAGAAAGGAUGUGUUUGUGCUGUGUUUGUAAUGCACGCAAGUGUCUUCCUGCUCGUGAACAUGUGUGUUUUCAUGUCUAUUCUUACAUGUUUAUUCAUAUGUUUGUAGGUUUCCAUAUAUGUACAAUAGUGCACCAUGUAAUUUACAAUGUCACUUUAAUUGAAAAAAUGAACUGUAACUCAAGAGAAGGAAGCUGUGCAUACAGUAGUGGUCACCCAUGUCUAUCCCACUCACUGCCAGCACGGUCAUCUUCUUUUGUAUAUAGUUGUUUGCACAAGGGUGACUUACUUAUAGCAAUCACCACAAUGUAUCCCCGGAUACAUUGUUAGGAACCUGUGCUUGGAGUGGUGAGUUAUUUAUCGUAAUGGCCACAAUGUAUUGUUAGGAACCUGUGCUUGGCAUUCAAACUACAUGAUACUUAAACAUGUGGUUUUUAUAAAGUGGCUCUAUGUCAUGCUGUGUCACUUCCUGACUGCCUGACUUGAGGUCCCAGAGCAGAAGUGGUGCCAGGCACUUCCUCCCAGCAGCCCAUGCACUACUGCAGGACACGUGACCCCUGGGUACUCUUUUCCAGGUUGGGAUUAUCUUAUUUUGAGAUAUGGUCAUUGAAGAAGUCACUUUAAGCAGGUUCUUGUACUUGGUUUCUUCUCUUCU